Molecule: long non-coding RNA, 217 nt
Filed under: Elaeis guineensis (African oil palm)
Lineage: Eukaryota; Viridiplantae; Streptophyta; Magnoliopsida; Arecales; Arecaceae
Description: long non-coding RNA (EGUI_LNC039820)
Source: RNAcentral
GCAUAGGUCUAGGAAAUUAAAGCCAAUUAAAUGAAUAUUGCAACUAAGGAAGCAUAAUAACACCUGUAUAGAUUACAUUUCAACUCAGGGAAAGUCUAUACUGAGGAGGAAUUUUUUUUUUUUAAAAUGACAUUUUUGAUGAGAAUAAUGAAUGUUCAUAGUAUGUGUAGUGAUGCAAGAAUACUAGCAUAUACAACAUUGAAUAUAAAUAAUAUCA